GGCUGAGUAAAGAAAUGAGACAGCAAACUAAAUGUAAAUGGUGUACCUGCAAAGCCUGGUACACUUUGGGUAGAAACUGCGACUUAUCAUGACGCCAUUUCACUUGAUCCAACUGGGAAAACCCCUGUUCAAAGUCAAAACAAAAGAGUUGUCACGCAUAAGAACAAACAGUUGAAGCGCGCUUUGUUUAUCCCCACGUCUACUUAUACCUGCCUUGGUGGUUUUCUUUGGCACGCAGAUAUCCCUCCACAAGCCCGUGAUGGCCGCCACUCCGCCUCUGCUCGUCUUCCUUCUCCUUGCCUUAGUAGUGCUCUCUCCCCG
RNAcentral lists this long non-coding RNA (321 nucleotides) under Musa acuminata (dwarf banana). RNAcentral's name for it is "long non-coding RNA (MACU_LNC004826)". The record is from RNAcentral. Lineage: Eukaryota; Viridiplantae; Streptophyta; Magnoliopsida; Zingiberales; Musaceae.